This 324-nucleotide long non-coding RNA is filed under the name Elaeis guineensis (African oil palm). Its description in RNAcentral is "long non-coding RNA (EGUI_LNC060328)". The record is from RNAcentral. Lineage: Eukaryota; Viridiplantae; Streptophyta; Magnoliopsida; Arecales; Arecaceae.
AUGCGGUACUCUAUCGGAUCACCUUAAUGGUGCUGGUACAUUGGCUUCGAAUCUAAUCUAAUCAAAUUCAACUCAGGUUCAGCUAUUAGUGUCGGUCCUUCUACCUGUUGAACUUCAUCAAGUUUAACCUUAGAGACAAUGGUUCCUUCACCAAGGAACUCUUUUUCUAAAAAAGUUGCCUUAAGGCUGACGAACACAUUUUGAUCAUUAGCAUGGUAGAAAAAAUAUCUUUUGAUCUCUUUGGGGUAUCCUAUGAAUGUGCAUGUGUCAGACCUAGGUCUAAGUUUACCGUAACUAACCGUUUGACAUAGACCGGACACCCCC